Molecule: long non-coding RNA, 1023 nt
Filed under: Mytilus galloprovincialis (Mediterranean mussel)
Lineage: Eukaryota; Metazoa; Mollusca; Bivalvia; Mytilida; Mytilidae
Source: RNAcentral
CCUAUAUUUCAUUUGAUUUGUUAUAUUGUCCCAUACAUGAGUAUAUAUGGUUUAGGGGUAAGGAUCUUGACCAUUUCCAAGUUCUCAAACAGGAGGGUGAACAGUGACCUCAGGAACUCCCCCUAUCUUUCAUUUGAAUUGUUAUAUUGUCCUGUACAUGAAUAUAUAUGGUUAAGGGGUGGCGAUCUCAAUGGGUUUCAAAUUCUCAAACAGGACGGGGUGGGGUGACCCAAGGGACACUCCCUAUAUUUCAUCUGAUUUGUUAUAUUGUCCCAUACAUGAAUAUAUAUGGUUUAGGGGUGGGGAUCUCGACCAUUUUUAAAUUCUAAAACAGGAGGGGUGGGGUGACCCCCAGCGACUCUUCCUAUAUUUCCUUUGAUUUUUCAUAUUGUCACAAACAUGAAUAUAUUUGGUUAAGGGGUGUGGAUCUCGACCGUUUCCAAGUUCUCAAACAGGAGGGGGUGGGGUAACUCCAGGGACUCCCCUAUAUUUCAUUUUUUAUUUAUUAUAUUGUCCUAUACUUGAAUAUAUGCAGGGGCGGAUUCAGACGGGGAGGGUUGCGGGCUUGCUACCCCCUUAAAUUUGCAAAGCAUGGGUUGUUCUCAGCUUAAUAAAGAAUAUUCCGAUAAUUUUACCUCAAUUUUUUUAGCCUCGCUCUGCUCGGCGAAAAUUUAAGUUUGCGCCCCUCCUAACCUAAAAUCCUGGAUCUGCCCCUCAUAUGGUUUAGGGGUGGGGAGCUCGACCGUUUUUCCAAGUUAUCAAACGGGGGGGUAGAGUGGCCCAAAGAAUGCCACCUAUAUAUCAUAUGAUUUACUUGUAUAUAUAAUAUAGUUGCAUUAUUUGUGAAAAUAAAGAAACUUUCAGCUACUUUAAUUGACCCUUCAAAAUUGAGAAAAACAAAUAACCCCUCGAAAUUGCAGUAAUAUGUUUACACUUUAAAAGCAUCUCAUAUGCAUUAUCAUCAUUUAUCAUUUAUAAAGAAAAUUUAGACUGUGACCAUGAACAUGUAUAUUGUUAGAUAUA